GAUGAACGCUGGCGGCGUGCCUAAUACAUGCAAGUCGAGCGAACGGACGAGAAGCUUGCUUCUCUGAUGUUAGCGGCGGACGGGUGAGUAACACGUGGAUAACCUACCUAUAAGACUGGGAUAACUUCGGGAAACCGGAGCUAAUACCGGAUAAUAUUUUGAACCGCAUGGUUCAAAAGUGAAAGACGGUCUUGCUGUCACUUAUAGAUGGAUCCGCGCUGCAUUAGCUAGUUGGUAAGGUAACGGCUUACCAAGGCAACGAUGCAUAGCCGACCUGAGAGGGUGAUCGGCCACACUGGAACUGAGACACGGUCCAGACUCCUACGGGAGGCAGCAGUAGGGAAUCUUCCGCAAUGGGCGAAAGCCUGACGGAGCAACGCCGCGUGAGUGAUGAAGGUCUUCGGAUCGUAAAACUCUGUUAUUAGGGAAGAACAUAUGUGUAAGUAACUGUGCACAUCUUGACGGUACCUAAUCAGAAAGCCACGGCUAACUACGCGCCAGCAGCCGCGGUAAUACGUAGGUGGCAAGCGUUAUCCGGAAUUAUUGGGCGUAAAGCGCGCGUAGGCGGUUUUUUAAGUCUGAUGUGAAAGCCCACGGCUCAACCGUGGAGGGUCAUUGGAAACUGGAAAACUUGAGUGCAGAAGAGGAAAGUGGAAUUCCAUGUGUAGCGGUGAAAUGCGCAGAGAUAUGGAGGAACACCAGUGGCGAAGGCGACUUUCUGGUCUGUAACUGACGCUGAUGUGCGAAAGCGUGGGGAUCAAACAGGGUUAGAUACCCUGGUAGUCCACGCCGUAAACGAUGAGUGCUAAGUGUUAGGGGGUUUCCGCCCCUUAGUGCUGCAGCUAACGCAUUAAGCACUCCGCCUGGGGAGUACGACCGCAAGGUUGAAACUCAAAGGAAUUGACGGGGACCCGCACAAGCGGUGGAGCAUGUGGUUUAAUUCGAAGCAACGCGAAGAACCUUACCAAAUCUUGACAUCCUUUGACAACUCUAGAGAUAGAGCUUUCCCCUUCGGGGGACAAAGUGACAGGUGGUGCAUGGUUGUCGUCAGCUCGUGUCGUGAGAUGUUGGGUUAAGUCCCGCAACGAGCGCAACCCUUAAGCUUAGUUGCCAUCAUUAAGUUGGGCACUCUAAGUUGACUGCCGGUGACAAACCGGAGGAAGGUGGGGAUGACGUCAAAUCAUCAUGCCCCUUAUGAUUUGGGCUACACACGUGCUACAAUGGACAAUACAAAGGGCAGCGAAACCGCGAGGUCAAGCAAAUCCCAUAAAGUUGUUCUCAGUUCGGAUUGUAGUCUGCAACUCGACUACAUGAAGCUGGAAUCGCUAGUAAUCGUAGAUCAGCAUGCUACGGUGAAUACGUUCCCGGGUCU
Molecule: ribosomal RNA, 1372 nt
Filed under: uncultured bacterium
Lineage: Bacteria
Description: bacterial SSU rRNA
Rfam family: Bacterial small subunit ribosomal RNA
Source: RNAcentral